Molecule: ribosomal RNA, 468 nt
Filed under: uncultured bacterium
Lineage: Bacteria
Description: partial 16S ribosomal RNA
Rfam family: Bacterial small subunit ribosomal RNA
Source: RNAcentral
GACGAACGCUGGCGGCGUGCUUAACACAUGCAAGUCGAACGGAAAGGCCCUGCUUUUGUGGGGUGCUCGAGUGGCGAACGGGUGAGUAACACGUGAGUAACCUGCCCUUGACUUUGGGAUAACUUCAGGAAACUGGGGCUAAUACCGGAUAGGAGCUCCUGCUGCAUGGUGGGGGUUGGAAAGUUUCGGCGGUUGGGGAUGGACUCGCGGCUUAUCAGCUUGUUGGUGGGGUAGUGGCUUACCAAGGCUUUGACGGGUAGCCGGCCUGAGAGGGUGACCGGCCACAUUGGGACUGAGGUACGGCCCAGACUCCUACGGGAGGCAGCAGUGGGGAAUAUUGCAGAAUGGGCGGAAGCCUGAUGCAGCAACGCCGCGUGCGGGAUGACGGCCUUCGGGUUGUAAACCGCUUUCGCCUGUGACGAAGAGUGAGUGACGGUAAUGGGUAAAGAAGCACCGGCUAACUACGUG